Molecule: non-coding RNA, 167 nt
Organism: Cinara cedri
Lineage: Eukaryota; Metazoa; Arthropoda; Insecta; Hemiptera; Aphididae
Source: the annotation of a GenBank genome assembly
AUACUUACCUGGCGUGGAGGUCAACCGUGAUCAUCUGGGCGGUUCCUCCAGGGCGAGGCCCGAUCAUUGCACAUACCGAUCGGGUUGACCCCUGCGAGUAUCCCUAAUGUGGAUACCUCGGACGUAGAAUUUUUUUUUAGCUGGGACUGCGUUCGCGCCGUCCCUUA